AAACAGGUUAAUAUUCCUGUACUUGGUGUUACUGCGAAGGGGGGACGGAGAAGGCUAUGUUAGCCGGGCGACGGUUGUCCCGGUUUAAGCAUGUAGGCGGAGGUUCCAGGUAAAUCCGGUACCUUUUAACGCUGAGGUGUGAUGACGAGGCACUACGGUGCUGAAGUAACAAAUGCCCUGCUUCCAGGAAAAGCCUCUAAGCAUCAGGUAACAUGAAAUCGUACCCCAAACCGACACAGGUGGUCAGGUAGAGAAUACCAAGGCGCUUGAGAGAACUCGGGUGAAGGAACUAGGCAAAAUGGUGCCGUAACUUCGGGAGAAGGCACGCUGAUAUGUAGGUG
RNAcentral lists this ribosomal RNA (341 nucleotides) under Citrobacter freundii. RNAcentral's name for it is "partial 23S ribosomal RNA". It matches the Rfam family "Bacterial large subunit ribosomal RNA", at positions 1422 to 1764 of the family's 2925-position model. The record is from RNAcentral. Lineage: Bacteria; Pseudomonadati; Pseudomonadota; Gammaproteobacteria; Enterobacterales; Enterobacteriaceae.